CAAUAGCGUAUAUUAAAGUUGUUGCAGUUAAAAAGCUCGUAGUUGGAUUUCGGAGUGGGCCAGUUGGUCCGCCGCAAGGUGUGUUACUGACUGGUUUGCUCUUCUUCGCAAAGACUGCGUGUGCUCUUGAGUGAGUGUGCGUAGAAUUUACGACGUUUACUUUGAAAAAUUAGAGUGUUCAAAGCAGGCUAUUGCUUGAAUACAUGAGCAUGGAAUAAUGGAAUAGGACUUUUGGUUCUAUUUUGUUGGCGUUCGAGAACCAAAGUAAUGAUUGAUAGGGACGGUUGGGGCGGUCAGUAUUCUGUAGCGAGAGGUGAAAUUCUUGGACCUACGGAAGACUAACAGCUGCGAAAGCGUUCGCCUAGGACGUUCUCUUAAUCAAGAAC
RNAcentral lists this ribosomal RNA (386 nucleotides) under uncultured eukaryote. Its description in RNAcentral is "bacterial SSU rRNA". It matches the Rfam family "Eukaryotic small subunit ribosomal RNA", at positions 592 to 984 of the family's 1831-position model. The record is from RNAcentral.